Molecule: ribosomal RNA, 465 nt
Filed under: uncultured soil bacterium
Lineage: Bacteria
Description: bacterial SSU rRNA
Rfam family: Bacterial small subunit ribosomal RNA
Source: RNAcentral
AGAUUGAACGCUGGCGGCAGGCCUAACACAUGCAAGUCGAGCGGCAGCACGGGUACUUGUACCUGGUGGCGAGCGGCGGACGGGUGAGCAAUGCCUAGGAAUCUGCCUAGUGGUGGGGGAUAACGUUCGGAAACGGACGCUAAUACCGCAUACGUCCUACGGGAGAAAGCGGGGGACCUUCGGGCCUCGCGCCAUUAGAUGAGCCUAGGUCGGAUUAGCUAGUUGGUGAGGUAAAGGCUCACCAAGGCGACGAUCCGUAACUGGUCUGAGAGGAUGAUCAGUCACACUGGAACUGAGACACGGUCCAGACUCCUACGGGAGCAGCAGUGGGAAUAUGGACAAUGGGGAAACCCUGAUCAGCAUGCCGCGUGUGUGAAGAAGGUCUUCGGAUUAGUAAAGCUACGUUUAAGUUGGAAGGAAGGCAGUAACUUAAUACGUUGCUUGUUUGACGUUACGACAGAAUAA